RNAcentral lists this ribosomal RNA (473 nucleotides) under uncultured bacterium. RNAcentral describes it as "bacterial SSU rRNA". It matches the Rfam family "Bacterial small subunit ribosomal RNA", at positions 355 to 825 of the family's 1533-position model. The record is from RNAcentral.
UGGGGAAUAUUGGACAAUGGGCGAAAGCCUGAUCCAGCCAUGCCGCGUGUGUGAAGAAGGUCUUCGGAUUGUAAAGCACUUUAAGUUGGGAGGAAGGGCAGUAACCUAAUACGUUUCUGUCUUGACGUUACCGACAGAAUAAGCACCGGCUAACUCUGUGCCAGCAGCCGCGAUAAUACAGAGGGUGCAAGCGUUAAUCGGAAUUACUGGGCGUAAAGCGCGCGUAGGUGGUUUGUUAAGUUGGAUGUGAAAUCCCCGGGCUCAACCUGGGAACUGCAUUCAAAACUGACAAGCUAGAGUAUGGUAGAGGGUGGUGGAAUUUCCUGUGUAGCGGUGAAAUGCGUAGAUAUAGGAAGGAACACCAGUGGCGAAGGCGACCACCUGGACUAGAUACUGACACUGAGGUGCGAAAGCGUGGGGAGCAAACAGGAUUAGAUACCCCAGUAGUCCCUGAGCGGGCUGGCAAGGCGCAU